Molecule: long non-coding RNA, 478 nt
Filed under: Homo sapiens (human)
Lineage: Eukaryota; Metazoa; Chordata; Mammalia; Primates; Hominidae
Description: ITGB2 antisense RNA 1
Source: RNAcentral
UCUCACAUGAGGUCCCGGCGAGAAGGACCUGCUUCCAUCAGAUUCACACUUGGGAGAGGGGCCCGGCCUCCAGGAGCGCCAGGCAGAAAGGGCACCCAUUAGGAAGAAGAACACAGAGGCCAUGGGAGUGAAAAGUUUGAUGCUGGAAAGCAACAGUAGCACAUUCUGCUACAGAGCGGAAUGAAAAACCCUGGGGAGCAAAUUCCUGAGCCAGAGAAUGGAGCGGAGGAACCAGCCAAGGAGGAUAAAGAGACCUGCGUGCUCUGAGGCUGCCCGACCCUGAGCUCCAGAACAGACCAUCGAGUUCAGGAGACAAGCAUGUCAGCCAUGACACAAGGCAGAUGAGAGGGACCCCCAGCGUCCACACGUGGAGGCAGCGGGGGCAGCCGAUCCAUACAAACAGGCUGACCAUCAGGGCUGGUCCCAGGCCACCAGGCUGGGUGCAAUGCAGAAAUGGAGAUCUGCCCCGGGGAAGGCA